This 506-nucleotide ribosomal RNA is filed under the name uncultured bacterium. Its description in RNAcentral is "partial 16S ribosomal RNA". It matches the Rfam family "Bacterial small subunit ribosomal RNA", at positions 29 to 523 of the family's 1533-position model. The record is from RNAcentral.
AGUGUACGCUGGCGGUAGGCCUAACACAUGCAAGUCGAACGGCAGCCCAGGAGAGCUUGCUCUCUGGGUGGCGAGUGGCGGACGGGUGAGGAAUACAUCGGAAUCUACUCUGUCGUGGGGGAUAACGUAGGGAAACUUACGCUAAUACCGCAUACGACCUACGGGUGAAAGCAGGGGAUCUUCGGACCUUGCGCGAUUGAAUGAGCCGAUGUCGGAUUAGCUAGUUGGCGGGGUAAAGGCCCACCAAGGCGACGAUCCGUAGCUGGUCUGAGAGGAUGACCAGCCACACUGGAACUGAGACACGGUCCAGACUCCUACGGGAGGCAGCAGUGGGGAAUAUUGGACAAUGGGCGCAAGCCUGAUCCAGCCAUACCGCGUGGGUGAAGAAGGCCUUCGGGUUGUAAAGCCCUUUUGUUGGGAAAGAAAUCCAGCUGGCUAAUACCCGGUUGGGGUGACGGUACCCAAAGAAUAAGCACCGGCUAACUUCGUGCCAGCAGCCGCCGUAA